GUUUGCACAAUUCAAACUCAAACAUGGCGAACAGCAACAGACAGAGCCGAGUGAGGAGCAGCGGCGCUAACAUUGAUACAAGUAAUCAUUUAAGUCUUAAGUAUACUCUCCUGUCUAUUCUGGCUCCACGAUGGUGGAGUGACCUUCCCGUGGAGGUCAGAACAGCUGAGACCCUGACCACCUUCAAGCGAUGACUGAAGACACCUCUUCAGGCUGCAUCUCUCCCCAUCCCUCCCUACCUCCCUGUAGUCUCUAAUUGGCUAUGUUAGCUUAGAGUUGUAGCUAGGUAAGCUGUUUAUCUUAGUUGACUUAGUUAUUGCACUCGUGCCUACUCAAUUAUUGCUUGUAUUAUUUGCAUAGACUGCUUUGUUUAUGAUUUUGUUUGUGUUGAUCAGAUUAACCGGCAGGGUCCAAGUUAAACUACGCGGUCGUUCCCUGCACUUGGUACUGUACUUCCCUCUAGGGUUUUCAACACACUUGUUCCUGGUUAUGGUUAUACACUUUGUGGUACGUCGCUCUGGAUAAGAGCGUCUGCCAAAUGCCUGUAAUGUAAUGUAUCUGGAUUUUUAAUGUUGCGCAUAAUUUGCCUUCUGAGGAUAAUAAAGAUGUACUGAAACUGAA
Anguilla rostrata (American eel) is the source of this 621-nucleotide long non-coding RNA. RefSeq lists it as uncharacterized. The transcript has 2 exons. The record is from RefSeq and is a predicted model, not a curated record. Lineage: Eukaryota; Metazoa; Chordata; Actinopteri; Anguilliformes; Anguillidae.